GAACGCUGGCGGCAGGCCUAACACAUGCAAGUCGAACGGUAACAGGAAGAAGCUUGCUUCUUUGCUGACGAGUGGCGGACGGGUGAGUAAUGUCUGGGAAACUGCCUGAUGGAGGGGGAUAACUACUGGAAACGGUAGCUAAUACCGCAUAACGUCGCAAGACCAAAGAGGGGGACCUUCGGGCCUCUUGCCAUCGGAUGUGCCCAGAUGGGAUUAGCUAGUAGGUGGGGUAACGGCUCACCUAGGCGACGAUCCCUAGCUGGUCUGAGAGGAUGACCAGCCACACUGGAACUGAGACACGGUCCAGACUCCUACGGGAGGCAGCAGUGGGGAAUAUUGCACAAUGGGCGCAAGCCUGAUGCAGCCAUGCCGCGUGUAUGAAGAAGGCCUUCGGGUUGUAAAGUACUUUCAGCGGGGAGGAAGGGAGUAAAGUUAAUACCUUUGCUCAUUGACGUUACCCGCAGAAGAAGCACCGGCUAACUCCGUGCCAGCAGCCGCGGUAAUACGGAGGGUGCAAGCGUUAAUCGGAAUUACUGGGCGUAAAGCGCACGCAGGCGGUUUGUUAAGUCAGAUGUGAAAUCCCCGGGCUCAACCUGGGAACUGCAUCUGAUACUGGCAAGCUUGAGUCUCGUAGAGGGGGGUAGAAUUCCAGGUGUAGCGGUGAAAUGCGUAGAGAUCUGGAGGAAUACCGGUGGCGAAGGCGGCCCCCUGGACGAAGACUGACGCUCAGGUGCGAAAGCGUGGGGAGCAAACAGGAUUAGAUACCCUGGUAGUCCACGCCGUAAACGAUGUCGACUUGGAGGUUGUGCCCUUGAGGCGUGGCUUCCGGAGCUAACGCGUUAAGUCGACCGCCUGGGGAGUACGGCCGCAAGGUUAAAACUCAAAUGAAUUGACGGGGGCCCGCACAAGCGGUGGAGCAUGUGGUUUAAUUCGAUGCAACGCGAAGAACCUUACCUGGUCUUGACAUCCACAGAACUUUCCAGAGAUGGAUUGGUGCCUUCGGGAACUGUGAGACAGGUGCUGCAUGGCUGUCGUCAGCUCGUGUUGUGAAAUGUUGGGUUAAGUCCCGCAACGAGCGCAACCCUUAUCCUUUGUUGCCAGCGGUCCGGCCGGGAACUCAAAGGAGACUGCCAGUGAUAAACUGGAGGAAGGUGGGGGUGACGUCAAGUCAUCAUGGCCCUUACGACCAGGGCUACACACGUGCUACAAUGGCGCAUACAAAGAGAAGCGACCUCGCGAGAGCAAGCGGACCUCAUAAAGUGCGUCGUAGUCCGGAUUGGAGUCUGCAACUCGACUCCAUGAAGUCGGAAUCGCUAGUAAUCGUGGAUCAGAAUGCCACGGUGAAUACGUUCCCGGGCCUUGUACACACCGCCCGUCACACCAUGGGAGUGGGUUGCAAAAGAAGUAGAUAGCUUAACCUUCGGGAGGGCGCUUACCACUUUGUGAUUCAUGA
Molecule: ribosomal RNA, 1453 nt
Filed under: uncultured organism
Description: 16S ribosomal RNA
Rfam family: Bacterial small subunit ribosomal RNA
Source: RNAcentral